Molecule: transfer RNA, 64 nt
Filed under: Cyrtodactylus pubisulcus (Inger's bow-fingered gecko)
Lineage: Eukaryota; Metazoa; Chordata; Lepidosauria; Squamata; Gekkonidae
Description: tRNA-Cys
Source: RNAcentral
AANCCCAAGUGAACGACACCAAAAUGCAAAUUUGGAGACGCACCCUANCAGGUGCCGGGGCUUC